UUCCAGACUCCUACGGGAGGCAGCAGUGGGGGAUAUUGCACAAUGGGGGAAACCCUGAUGCAGCGACGCCGCGUGGGCGAAGAAGUAUUUCGGUAUGUAAAGCCCUAUCAGCAGGGAAGAAGAAAUGACGGUACCUGAGUAAGAAGCACCGGCUAAAUACGUGCCAGCAGCCGCGGUAAUACGUAUGGUGCAAGCGUUAUCCGGAUUUACUGGGUGUAAAGGGAGCGCAGGCGGCACGGCAAGCCUGAUGUGAAAGCCCGCGGCCCAACCGCGGGACUGCAUUGGGAACUGUAAGGCUAGAGUGUCGGAGAGGCAGGCGGAAUUCCUAGUGUAGCGGUGAAAUGCGUAGAUAUUAGGAGGAACACCAGUGGCGAAGGCGGCCUGCUGGACGAUGACUGACGUUGAGGCUCGAAAGCGUGGGGAGCAAACAGGAUUAGAUACCCCGGUAGA
RNAcentral lists this ribosomal RNA (450 nucleotides) under uncultured bacterium. RNAcentral describes it as "bacterial SSU rRNA". It matches the Rfam family "Bacterial small subunit ribosomal RNA", at positions 329 to 794 of the family's 1533-position model. The record is from RNAcentral.